RNAcentral lists this ribosomal RNA (253 nucleotides) under uncultured prokaryote. Its description in RNAcentral is "partial 16S ribosomal RNA". It matches the Rfam family "Bacterial small subunit ribosomal RNA", at positions 525 to 777 of the family's 1533-position model. The record is from RNAcentral.
ACGAAGGGGGCUAGCGUUGUUCGGAAUCACUGGGCGUAAAGGGCGCGUAGGCGGCUUUAUAAGUCGGGGGUGAAAGCCUGUGGCUCAACUACAGAAUUGCCUUCGAUACUGUAGAGCUUGAGACCGGAAGAGGUAAGUGGAACUGCGAGUGUAGAGGUGAAAUUCGUAGAUAUCAGGUGGAACACCAGUGGCGAAGGCGGCUUUCUGGACGGUAACUGACGCUGAGACGCGAAAGCGUGGGGAGCAAACAGGA